CCAUCGGGUUGCAUCACGCCCGGCUCCCUCCCCGUGGAAUUUUACAACUGUUAAUGAAUGGGGUUGGAGCACCGCUGUGCCGCCAGGCAGCCGUUGGUGGAUUUAUGGUCGGAGAUUGAGCUCCUGCCUCUGGCACUGCAUCGGUGACAGCAGUGCUGUGUGUGUGCCAGCAAGCCUGCGAGGCCAGAGCCUGCAGCAGCCCUGUGCUCACGUGCUGCGUGUUGUUCUUACGGUGGUGACGUCCCUGCAGCAGGGACACAAGCUAUGCGUGAGAGGAGUGUGACACAAAACUGCUCUGAGGACCAGGAGCUGACAGUGAUUUCUCUGUCAUUCCCCUGUUGUCAUCUUCCCCACUGCACGUACAUUUGUUCAUCGUUAGUAAGGUACUGUUGAUGACUAAAGCCUGGGUCUGUAUCGCAGUCUGCUUGAAGGAGCAAUCGAGGACUGCAGGGCUCAGCUCAUGAGGAGUGGGGCAGUGCGUUUCCUCAUUCUAUGGGAUGUGAAGAGUCCCUCCUGACUGACAGCGAAUUGCAUCACUGCUUGUACAGAUAUUUUUCUCUGCAAUGUGCUUGUAGUGUUGUUUUCCACCAGUGAAAUUUGCCAGCACGUCCCAAAUUGUGUGGUUUUGGAAUGGAGAAGCAACAUACCUGUGCGGGGGAGAGAAUGAGUGCUUUUUGCUUCUUUCAAUCUGGCUCUUCCCUCCCUUCUCCCCACAUCCCCAUGUGUUACAAAGCCAGCUGCUCCCAGAAUAGGUUGGGAAUGAAAUGUCACCGUUUGAAACUGGUGAGUCACACUUUUUGAAGCUUGGGGGGGGAGGGAAUCUGAAAUCCUGCGGUGUGGCAGAGCGUCUCCUGGUGAGCACAGAGGGAUUUUGAAAACCACGGGCUCCCUGAUGGUGGAGUCGAGGGGUUUUGCAUGCAGGCUGCUGGGUGUGUCUGGGCUGCUUUCUGCAGGAGGAUGGCAAAACCUGCUGCAAACUUCAGCUGUCUGCUGGAACGUACCUGCUGCAGCCACAUCCCAGCGCCUUCCCGACAGGACUGGGUCGUAUCUGACAGCGAACCUACAGUGACUCUCUUAAUUAAGUCUCCCUGCACUGCUGUGAGGUAUGUAAUUACAGUGAGACCUGACUUAAGCAACCACACGAGGGACUAACAACAGGAAAAAAAAACCUCUUUACCAGAGCAAGGAGGAGCAGAAUUAUACUGUUGCUUUUUUUAUAAAUAUAUAUAUAUAUUUCAGGGGAAGUUUAUUAAACAAAGUAAGUCAGUUAGUCUGGUUUCUUCUCAGUGUAUCCCAGUAGGGAUGAUACCUAGGAUGAUACCUUUAAUGUACUGUAUGUUAAUAUAAGCAGGCUGUUUCCUUCCAAAAAGAUCCUUGAGAUUGUUAAUUUUUUUUAAUAGAGAUUUCUGUGAAAAGCAUCAAUUAAUACAAAUGGUAACAGUGGUCUUGUGAGAUGAGCUGUUGUUACCAGAAGCUGGGCAGUGGUUCUCACUUCCCAACUCUGUCCAGGGGUAGGAAUGUUUAUUCAAAGGGUGACAUGUGGGAUUCCUGCUGCAGCCCUUGGCAGCCGUGCAUUUCCACACUGUGCAUGGCAGCCCUGCCUUGUAGGUGCUGAGUUGUGCACCUUGAGCUGAGCACCACUGGUCUGUGCCCAGUGCUGGCAGUGGCAGGUUGGGCUUUGUGCUGCCAUUCCCAUCUUGCCCACCAGCUAGCUGGCUGUGUUAAUAUCCUGAGCAGCCGACUGCGGUGGCCACAGAGAAGUCAUGCAACUCAUCUUACAGCCUCUGCUUCGGCCUUACUGACCUCCAGCUGAAGGGCAGGUGGAAGCUGGAGACAGCAAUACCACGAAUGGUCGCGUGGUGAGCCAGCUGCAGUCCUCUUGAGUCCCCAUUCAGUGGGGUGCUGAAUACAUGCAGUGAGUAAAGCUCCCCACUUACAGGCUGAGCGACGCAGGCAGCUUGCUGGGGACUUUGCAGGAGUAAGCCUUAGGGAGUUUGGUGCCAUCUCUGUCUGUUUCACUUUAGAAAACUGAGCUAGUAACAGGAAUUUAUGAAGUGUGCAUUUAAAUCUCAAAUUUUAGGUAGUGUUAACUAGAAGCCCACAUACUGUCGUCACCGGACUUGGCAAAAAACACCCAACAAACCAACACAACGCUGGCUGCAGAAGAUUUGCUGCAGAGCUUAAGAUUUCAUUUAAGACAAAAUAAAGCAAACCCUGUGCAUCAUGGCCUCAGAGACAACCUUGGGAAGUCAGAUCUGGGUGCCGUUCCACAUGCCUAUUUCUCAGCAGCAUAGCCUGCUUAUCUGCCCCACUCUUUAUCUUUGUUGCCCUUUUUUCUCAUCUCGGAGAACUUCAGUGAGUUUCCUUCUGCUGUGGUGGGCGAGUUGAACCAGCAGUGCUGCAGGGUACUUUGCCUCUCCAGAUCCUGAAUGAGGAUUCCUGUUAGCUUACAGGCUCUAGCAGAUAACUAGCCCAAGAUAAUGUUGGGUGCAAUUGGUUCAAGUACGCCCUAUUGAAAAGCAGCUUAUUUCCUAGAAUGAAGUUAGCAUGAUUUCAAACCGAGCAACGAAAGAUGAAUUGAGCACACAGCUCCAAUGCUGAAUCCAAUAAGCAUUUGAAAUUUCAAAGGUACGUGAUUUUUUCCUUUAAAGCUUCAUGGGUUUUUGCCCAAAUCAAAGGAUUUUGGUGGACUGCUUACUGUGGGAUUUUCCAGGCUGCCUGAGGCCACGCAUUCUCAGCUCCUCCGCCUCGGCACAACUCACACCUAAGGAUGGAACUCUCCCUAACAUGAACAAGCAUUUCAGCUCAUUGGGACAAGCCAGUAUUACUACUGAGUUGGUUUGGGCAAAAUAAAUAAAUAAGGAGGGGAGGUGGUGACCAAAAUGACGUGGUUGGACACUCAUUAGCAAAGCAUUGUCAGGGAACAAUAGAAGAACAGACAAAAGUCAGCCCAGAUUCUGUGGUAUUUCCUCAAGGGCUCCCUCUGGCACAUGGCUGCUCCCUGCCAAUCCUUCCGUAUUGUUUUUGAUAAUGAAUAGAAGCUGAACAGAUGAUUGUUGUAUUGUCCACUAAGUGAUUCAUUUACAUUAAAUACUGCUCAAAAGGAGGCUUUGGGUAGACUUUUUUUUAUUCACUCCAGUUAUUUAUUUGUACAAUUUAAUUACCAUCUUUUAAUUCUCCACUGUACAUAAUUAUUUCCUGAUUGCUUUGGCUAAAUUACAGGGGUUGUAACUCCUCAGAAGUCAGUGGUCCAACAAGCCCUGACAUCAGCAGCAGCAUCUCUGCAUUUUCAGAGAUGAUUAAGUUCAAACAAUCACCUUUAGAGAGCCACUCUUUCUUGGGGAAGGUGCUGAGGUUCUGCAGCAUCUGUCUGCAGGUGCCUUAUGCCCCUGCUGCCUGGCUCUGAACAGCAGUUUGGCACAAACUUUGCUGCAUAAACCAUCAUGGCUUCAUUGAUUUCCUCACUAAUCUCCCAUCUGUGUGUCUUCACCAGAUUUUCUUCUUUAACCCAGGCUUUCUAUUGCAAUUUCAGGCUUUUCUUAUGGAUGGUCAAAAGCGUUGAGUAGUUUCAUUUUGGUUGGAAAGAUGUGACAGAUGUGAGAAGUUUAAGGCUUAUUGACGCUACAGUUGGAAGAACUUCGCUGUCAGAAGGUGUUUAGUCCCAAAUCCACAUCCAGAACUACAUGGGAAGAAGAAGAUGGAAGGAAGCUGCUCUCACACAGGGGCACGAAUCCUUGGAAUUCCAUGCACUGCUUUGGAGAGAUCUGCAAAAGAUCACGAAGACAAGCAAGUGUCUAUAGGUUUAAAUUAGAAAUACAGGGGCCUGUGAUUCCAAGGGAAAACUUUCAGGAGUCGAUUAUGAAAUGUUAAGUCAGCUAAGCCCACUGAAAUCCACCUAUCUUUGUGCUCCAUGGACUGACAAGCAUCCUUCUGGCCAGACCUGUGCAGCUGGACUGGCUGCCACUGAAUGUUGUGGAUUGAAGCAGCUGCUCCACCCCCUCUGCUCAGAUGUAGGCAGGGGGAAGCCUCUAAUCUGGCGGAUGCUUUUAGCAAUGGACUGGACCGAAAACAAAAUCUUUGUUUUAGAGAGGGUGGUGGAGCUGGGACCAUAUAAAUCUGUUUUGCUGCGAGGUCAGUGAUUGAUUAAUGCUGGAAGUGCCACCUUGGGAUGACAAGGAUUGAGGAUACAGCCGCUUUUCUUCCCCAUGUGGAGGCACACUGCAUCUUCCCAGCUGAGCUAUCCUGUAACACAGAUGACUCUCUGGAGAAAGACUUAGCUGCACGUUUGCAGUAUGUUUUAGCUACUAUCAACAUUUAUAUUCCAUUGUCAUUUGGGGGUAAGCACUAGUUAGCAUAAUCAUCAGUGCUUUAAAAUUAAAAAUUCCUCCAAGAGAUGCAGGAGGGAUUGAAAUGGUUUUCUGCCCCCAGAGGCAAAUCCUUUCCCAAGCUAUCUGCUGCACCAAAAGGUUUUAUUCUAGAAACAUUCCCAAGCCGUGCCCAAGAGUAAAUUAAACUACAGCAAACUUAUAAACUCUCGUGUGUGUAUGUAGCAAGCAGGCCCUGAUUUAGCAAAUUACUACAUGACUAAAUGUAAGUAUUUUCUGUUCCUAUUUUGGAACUGAUGUUCUUUGCUGCCGUGCCACCUUCACUGUAUGGGCUGCCACAAUCAGGAGGUAUUUGUAGAGUAUGAAAUUUUAAUUCUUCACAGGAAAGAUUCGGGUGUCUUCACCAGAUUGAAAGCAAAGGGCUUGAUGACACUGAUACCUUCUGGAGCUUGGUUCAGGCUCCCCUGGUAAGGAAUUGGCUUCAGAAAAUAUUAAGAGCCAUUCUUUUUCUGUGUAAUUUUAGAAUGGAUUUCUGCUUUGGUACCAAAGCGAUUCGCUGUCAGAGUGAACCUGAAAUCAGAUUUCUGGCUCAAAAAGCUCCCUCUCUUUCUGGAGAACAAGAUGCCAGAAAAACUAUGGGGGGACCUUUAAGUUUGAAAGGCAUCGUCUGUUAUCUGUGGAAAUGUGCCUAGGAGUCCAUCUUAAAAUUUCAACAUUCAUCCUUUGGGAUGUGAUGGAGAACCUCAGGUGACAGUAGUUGUGGUUAAGGAUGGAUUUUGUGCUUGUGGGUUAUCUUUGAGAAUGCUUCACCAAUCCCAGCAGCUCCUUGGGGUGGGCCAUGGAACUUCAGGAAGCAGGAAUGGUUGACUGCUGUAAUUGUUUCUGAUCUGUCCAGAGAGAAAAAAUGGUAUGUUCCAAAGGAAGUAUUUAUUUGUGAGUAGAACAAAUUGCAGGUGUUCUCCUUUCUUAAAAUGAAAGAAUUAUGCUUUAUAAAGACGUGAUUAUUUUUAUUUCUGAAUAACACAAACGCUGCUGCACCUUACAUAGAGUAAACAUGAUGACUUUGCAAGAAAGAGCUGCAAAGAAAUCUCAGCGAAAACUUCGGUAUCUGCAAAGCUUUGAACACAUCCAUUGUCUUUUUGAUAUCCUGUUUCUUUGGAGAGAUGGACUUAAAUUUCACAGACAGAAUUUCUCUCUUUUAUCUUUAUCUCCUGUUUUGAUAUAGCCAUGGAGAAAAGCCCGAGAUCAGUAACAGCAAGUUCUUGCAGAAUAAGAAUAACCCUCUACUUGGGUUUAGACUGUAGUAAUA
Molecule: long non-coding RNA, 5634 nt
Organism: Centrocercus urophasianus (Greater sage-grouse)
Lineage: Eukaryota; Metazoa; Chordata; Aves; Galliformes; Phasianidae
Exons: 3
Source: RefSeq, a predicted model, not a curated record